Molecule: small RNA, 620 nt
Filed under: Pan troglodytes (chimpanzee)
Lineage: Eukaryota; Metazoa; Chordata; Mammalia; Primates; Hominidae
Description: processed transcript
Source: RNAcentral
AAAUAGAGAAACAAUGUCUGAAUGGAAGCUACAAAGUGAGAUACAGAUAAGUCACUCUUGGGAAGAAGGCUUGAAACUGAAUGACAACGGCUUACAGAAAUCAUCCUCUCUAAAGUGCAUUGAUUUAACUCCAGUAUCCUCAAUGGCUUCUUCCAUCAAGAAGACUGGGAAGCAGUGUUUCUCUCCAUCAUUACAAACUUGUGUGAGUUGCACUGGUUCGCCUUCAAGUCCUAUUCCCAGUCCUAUGCAACAAUACAUCAUAAGAAGUCAAAAUCCUACCAACAUUAUUAGACCAAGUAUCCUUGGACCAUUAAAAAGAAAAGGUGAAAUGGCAUUUCAAUAUCAACCAAAAAAGAUUUUCCAAGGCACAACCAACAUGCUUUCUUCUGAUACUUCCCAACUGUCAGAAAAUAAUGUGUGUCUACUUCCAGCUACUUUUGAUGGAAACGACAGCAAUGCUGGAUCUUCUGGUAAUUCGUCAGCUGAAAUCGGCACUGUCACAAACUCUCCUGUGUCACCUUCUGAUACUGGUUCUCAUUUGUUCUAGUAGACGAACUUUCAACUAAAUGAUUCACCCAUCCCAAGACUUUCUCACCAGUGGAGAAACACACACAUCAAGC